CACCGCAGAAUGAUGGUCAACAAGCCGUCAGGGGAGUUUCUUUUCAUGUCACACUGAAACAAAUCUAAUUGUGUGAUUGUUCGCAUUAUAUGACUUGACAAGGCAAUAAAGAACAAAGCUGAAAUGCUUGUAAUUCUCAUCUGGGAGACGAAGGCUGGAACCAGGUAGCGCCACAACUGUAGCGCAUGACCUCUCUGGGGACCAUGAAGUAGGCACCUGCACCAGUUCUGUCAUACCAACAUCCUGACUGCCGGUACAUGAGGGAUCUGCUGCUU
Molecule: long non-coding RNA, 275 nt
Filed under: Scleropages formosus (Asian bonytongue)
Lineage: Eukaryota; Metazoa; Chordata; Actinopteri; Osteoglossiformes; Osteoglossidae
Description: lncRNA (ENSSFOG00015028515.1)
Source: RNAcentral